AUAAUCUUUUAUACAAUAAGAUGCAGCUAUAAUAAUAAAUCAAUAUCUCAUUUUAUUAUCAAAUAAAUAAUAUCAUUAUAUGAGUUAGAAAUUUAUAAAGAAAAAUUCCAUCGCAUCACUCAUGUGAUUGGCUUGUAGGAUACUAUUCUUUCAAUCUCUCACUUAUACUAAAACCAAUCAUCUUUGUAUCUCAAUCCUAUACG
This 203-nucleotide long non-coding RNA is filed under the name Elaeis guineensis (African oil palm). Its description in RNAcentral is "long non-coding RNA (EGUI_LNC000361)". The record is from RNAcentral. Lineage: Eukaryota; Viridiplantae; Streptophyta; Magnoliopsida; Arecales; Arecaceae.